Molecule: non-coding RNA, 344 nt
Organism: Lepisosteus oculatus (spotted gar)
Lineage: Eukaryota; Metazoa; Chordata; Actinopteri; Semionotiformes; Lepisosteidae
Source: RefSeq, a predicted model, not a curated record
GUGGUUUUCCCGUUGGGAUCAUCGUUGUAGUUGGAGUCCUGGUUCUCAUCGCUGUCGUUGGGAUUGUAAUCUGGAGGAAGAGACAGACAGGAUAUGGCAAAGCUUCAACUUCUUACAGCGACUUCAACUCCUCCAACAACCCCCCAGCUAAAGCAUGAAGAUCCAUCUGAGGAGAGACAUCAUCUUCUGAGACUGCACAAGGAGAUGGAGCCAUACUGUAUGUCUAACACACAUAAUCACUCAGUGAAAUACUUCACUUACAUUAUACAAGUCGCAGCAGCAGACAACCUGUCUCAGGAGCCCGGCCCUUCACUCCUCAUAGAUACUGUACCAGGAGAUUUUUU